This is a long non-coding RNA of Papaver somniferum (opium poppy), 3638 nucleotides long. RefSeq lists it as uncharacterized. NCBI's taxonomy places the organism in Eukaryota, Viridiplantae, Streptophyta, Magnoliopsida, Ranunculales, Papaveraceae. The record is from RefSeq and is a predicted model, not a curated record. The transcript is spliced from 6 exons.
GUUUUUCAGGAAAAAAGCGGCUGCCAUGGUUGUCAUCGUCUGAACUCAGUAGAAAAGUAGAACUCGAAGAUUUCAAUGGAGAAUCAAUUAUGGACUGAAAGUAUUCGAAGCAAUAGAAGAUGGACUAUCCUCUCUGGUUCUUUUUAAGAAAUCCAGUGAAGAAGAACAGAAACACGCGGAGAAACUGAUGGAAUUUCAUCAGUUUUUUUUUCUGAAAAGGAAAAAGAAUUGCACAACAUAAAAUGACAAUUCAACAAGCAAUGGGCUUCAAUUGAGGUAUUCUGUUGUGCUUUCUAGGAAUCUCAACAUUUCUAUUUUGCUCCGUAAGCCAUUUUAUAUGCAAUUAAGAUCUGUUAGACUUUGUCACAGUUUACUGAAAUGGGGCUACUCAAGUUUUGGUCUGGAUUAGAGAAAACAAGGGAAUAAUUGUGCUGACAAUGGUUGCGGAUUUGUGAAAACGUGUGUAUAUAUGAAUGAUUGAAUGUGAAAAUCAUUGCAGGGAAGGAGAUAUGAAUCAGAAACACAAUUUCUAUAUCAACUGGAAAAUGCACUUAAGUUGUUUGAUAAAAAGCCUCUUUCCAAUCAGAUUACUAUUUCUCUAUCCUUCCUAAGUUAACAAAUAUUGUUUGCUUGAAUUUCAUUUUCUCAUUUGGCCCUUCUCCCGAAUUGUUUCUACAAGCACAGUACUUUGUAACCUCUUUGCUAAACAUGCCUGGGUCAGGUACAUGGCUGCCUAUGCUCAUAGACAAGGUGAAAUGCGUAGAAGGUACGUAGGAGAGUUCUCUUCGUUGGGUGCUGCUUCCAUGCACACCAAUAGUACUUCGGAUAGGUUGGCAGAUACGUUCCAUCUCUCCAAAACGGCUACCAAAUAACACCUACAAAACUUUGUUCACAUAAACCAAAUUGAGGAAGGUAAGGGCCUGGAUUACUCGGGUCGCAUCUCUCAAAAGUGGAGCGAGCUUGAUGUCAUGGAGAUCAAUGAUGUGACAAGCUUGGAUAUGCAUGCCCAACCAGAAUCUGCCUCAGGGUGAUUAACUAGGUUUGGUUGUUCUUCAGAACGUAGUGAUGAAAUUUAUUCCCUCAACAAAUGCAUUGUUGCUGCCGAAAAGAAACUACUGCUCCUGUAAGAAUCAGGUUAUGGAAUUGCCUAGCAUCUCAUUAGAAGAUAUCCAAGGGUAAGAAAAUGUUAAAAGUGAUGAGUGAAUAUUUUUGGGUGAAAAACAGAUAUAGGCCUCUCUUUUUUCAGGAUUACAUCCAUAGGCCCGUUUUUUUGAAUUUUACAAAUAUAGGCCGGUUUUGACCGUUUUAUUGAAAAAACGGCUAACGGUAGUUAUGUGCCUUUUUAUCACCGUUAGGGUAUUGGAAAAAGACCUUUGAGCCCUUAGAAUCAUCAAACUCGCCGUGUUAUAGUUUUGAAUCGCCGAUUCUGCACAGCUACUCGGUGCUGACUGUGUAACCACGUGUACAUUGUACACGUCAUAAAUUCUACCACGUGUCAGAUAAAAAUGUUGCCCCCACAGUACCCAACAACAUGAUUAUCUUCAAUAAAAGCGUAUUUUCUUCUGUCUUUUUUUUAAUUAAGAUCUAAAAAUGGUUGGUGCAAGGAAAAAUCUGGAAAUGCAAUGAAUUUAAGAAAAAUAAUGAACUCAGAACUUGUUCUGCAAAAAAAACUGCAUCCAUUCAAAGUUUUCAAAGUUCCAAACUUAAACUGCACCAAUUCCUUCAAACUUAAACUACACAAAAGAUAAGGAGUAACUGCAUACUCUUCUAAACAAAAUGAAACACAACCAAGAAAACUAAUUCAGAAGAUCCAGCCUUUGUUGUUGCCUUUCCCCUGACACCUUUUUCAGAUCUUGCAGCAGCUUGCUUAGAUGAUUCACCAACGUAGAUACAAGCAUCCUCUGACCACAAUAUGUCAAUGAUUUCAUCACCCUUCAGUCUUAAGUUUGGCCUGAUCAUGUCCUAUGUCAAUGAUUUCAUCACCCUUCAGUCUUAAGUUUGGCCUGAUCAUGUCCUUUAACCUAUCAAGACCCAUAUCUUCUCUUGCACAGUCCCUGAACUCAAAACUCUGACAAGUUCCUAUCACAUUUACCUUAAAACUUCUGAAGGGCAUCCUGUCAUCUUCAACAUCAUUCCUACAAGAGACAUAAAUAAAAUUCAAAUAGACACUAAAAAAAAUACAUGAGAAGAACGCUAAUAAAGCUCAAACCUAAUCAAAUAUCAAAUCAAAGAGAAGAACAGGGCAAUCUGGACACUAGUCUUUCUUAUCAAUAACCAAAAAUGUAAAUCAUUAAAAAGAACAGGGCAAUCUGGAUAAGAGAAGCGAAAAAAUUGAGGAGAGAAAAAAUUAUAGAACUAUUAAUUAUGAUUUGUCAGAUCACAUAGUCUAAAUGUCUCUAUAGUACAUUAGCGCUACUGGCAUUGGUAUGAACAGAGCAACCCAAAAUGUAAAUCAUAGGAGUACAAAAGACUAGCUCUUUAAUUUAAUGUAAAUAUACUUCUAUCAGUUUAAUUACAUAAAAGAACGACCAACAUAAAAGAUGUUUCUUUAUACAAAUAUAGGAGGCCCUUUUUAAAAGUUAAAUGUGAUUUGAUCAAAGUCAUUUUCGUUCUAGAAGGAUAACAGUCUACAGCAAACAUGGAACACCCCAUGAUACUCGUACCUAAUCCUAACUACCCUUCAUGGAACCUGCCACUUUUGAGUCAGUAGUAUCCUGUCCCUGUUCUACAUACUCUACAUUAACCUACGUAGGCUAACUAACGUCGCAUAUACGGGAAGGAAAAGUCCGAAAGACUGCAGCUUAACUAAGCCCAUGAUUAACUAUUUUAGUGCACACUGCACAGCGCCACGGCCUCUGCUGCUGAUAUUAAAUUCCUGUCAGUUUUAAAUUCAAGACAAGUAAGUGAGAGUAUCUAAUGAUUAUCACAGAUAGAUUCGACGAUUAUGGGUAGAAGCAAAUGUACAAAAACACCAAAGUUAAAACAAAAAAAAAAAUGUACAGGAAAAGACGAACAGACCAGAGGAGAAAUGUAACUCAUUAAAGUGCGCAUCUCCCAUAACAAUGACUAAAAUUGACAUAAAUAUGCAUAUGGGAGACUAGCACAAGACAAACUUCACAUCCUUCAGUUUUUUCCCAUUAUAUCAUAAGCUAGUUAGUCGAUGAUAAAGGUCCACACAUGAGCCAAUAUACCAACCUAGGUCUCCAAUUCUAACUGAUACCCACUUGAUUAACUCUAUCGACCUCUAUCAUCUGACUGGAUCAAGUCCACUUGAAACUAAUUUAGAAUCCUGUCUGCAUAUUACCAAUUAAGCAUCUUCUCAUGCUGGUAUUAUAUCAAGCCAUCAGCUUCAUGAACCCAUAUUUUUCAAACCAAAUUUCUAACACACUAGCAUUCACAUAUUUUAAGCAGCCAAUAAGAGGUAAGUAAAGAACACAAAACUACACAAAGAUACGUCAUGCACUGCAAUCAUAGUGGCUUAAGUGAGCACACUCCAGUAGCAGUCAAGGUUAAACACAAUAAGCAGUGAAUACUUAAAAGCUAUUGCAAUCCAUGAAUUAACUUUGAUAACCUUCGAAACUAAAGUUCCCAAAGUUCUGAACAAAAAUCCUAGAUCUAGCAUAUAAAUCAAUCCAAUC